This 442-nucleotide ribosomal RNA is filed under the name uncultured bacterium. RNAcentral's name for it is "partial 16S ribosomal RNA". It matches the Rfam family "Bacterial small subunit ribosomal RNA", at positions 338 to 795 of the family's 1533-position model. The record is from RNAcentral.
CCUACGGGCGGCAGCAGUGGGGAAUAUUGGGCAAUGGGCGCAAGCCUGACCCAGCAACGCCGCGUGAAGGAAGAAGGCUUUCGGGUUGUAAACUUCUUUUCUCAGGGACGAAGAAAGUGACGGUACCUGAGGAAUAAGCCACGGCUAACUACGUGACAGCAGCCGCGGUAAUACGUGGGUGGCAAGCGUUAUCGGAUUUAUUGGGGGUAAAGGGCGUGGAGGCGGGAGCGCAAGUCAGAUGGGAAAACUCAGGGCUCAACCCUGAGCCUGCAUGUGAAACUGUGGUUCUUGAGGGCUGGAGAGGCAAUCGGAAUUCCGUGUGUAGCGGUGAAAUGCGUAGAUAUACGGAGGAACACCAGUGGCGAAGGCGGAUUGCUGGACAGUAACUGACGCUGAGGCGCGAAAGCGUGGGGAGCAAACAGGAUUAGAUACCCGAGUAGUC